UACGUAGGUCCCGAGCGUUAUCCGGAUUUAUUGGGCGUAAAGCGAGCGCAGGCGGUUAGAUAAGUCUGAAGUUAAAGGCUGUGGCUUAACCAUAGUACGCUUUGGAAACUGUUUAACUUGAGUGCAGAAGGGGAGAGUGGAAUUCCAUGUGUAGCGGUGAAAUGCGUAGAUAUAUGGAGGAACACCGGUGGCGAAAGCGGCUCUCUGGUCUGUAACUGACGCUGAGGCUCG
RNAcentral lists this ribosomal RNA (231 nucleotides) under uncultured Streptococcaceae bacterium. RNAcentral describes it as "partial 16S ribosomal RNA". It matches the Rfam family "Bacterial small subunit ribosomal RNA", at positions 524 to 755 of the family's 1533-position model. Lineage: Bacteria; Bacillati; Bacillota; Bacilli; Lactobacillales; Streptococcaceae. The record is from RNAcentral.